UAUAAUAUUCUAUUAUACGUUAUGUUUGAAAAAAUUAUAUUUUUCCAACUUUCUAUCUAUUAGUCAAUUUUAUUUAAUCGAGUGACAACGUAUAAGCGCAGAUAUCUUCGUUUCAGAUUCAUUUUUAUUCGUCAAAAUGAUAUUAAAUCAUUUGUGUUUACUCUCUAUACCUUUUACGUUCAUCUUACUGUUCAGCCUAACGUAUUGUUCUUUGUUUCGAAACAUAAUAUGUCUAUUACUGAAAAACAUAUCCUUGAGUGUAUGUGUUUCAGGAAUUUGACGAAUCCUAUUCGUGUAUGCACGGAUAGCCGACAACUCUAGCCCCCUACUCCUCCCCAACCGAAACUCGUCAGAUAAAUCGCGGUGCGGGCUGUCAGUUUAGCGUGGACAGUCAGAGGGAUCGGACGUAUAUUCAUACGUGUCAUUUCGUGACAAGUGGCUUUGGCACUUUGGUAGACAUUUUUCUACCGUUCCAACUCACUCUAUUGUUACUUUCAUUUACUUAUUACUAUUAUUUGAUUUCGGGGGAAGUUUUGAUGUAUUAAAGGGAUGCUACGAAAUUUGAAAGGACGGGGUGAAAGUCAAAAGGACGCCUUGGUGAUUAACGAUAAAUUUGAUAACUUUUCGUCGAAAUGAGGUUUUUCAUAACUUGCAUUUUUUUCUUCUUCUUUGGGAAGGAUGUAGCGGUGUUUUAAAUUUAAGCAUGUAUGUCACUUUUUCCCCUUCUUCUUGUUCUCGGGAAAGGACCUAGUGGUGUUUCAAAAGCCAAAAAUGUAAGUAACUAUGUAUUUU
This is a long non-coding RNA of Bombus pyrosoma, 792 nucleotides long. RefSeq lists it as uncharacterized. The record is from RefSeq and is a predicted model, not a curated record. NCBI's taxonomy places the organism in Eukaryota, Metazoa, Arthropoda, Insecta, Hymenoptera, Apidae. The transcript has 4 exons.